CAGUAGCCGCGGUAAUACAGAGGGUGCAAGCGUUAAUCGGAAUUACUGGGCGUAAAGCGCGCGUAGGUGGUUUGUUAAGUUGGAUGUGAAAGCCCCGGGCUCAACCUGGGAACUGCAUCCAAAACUGGCAAGCUAGAGUACGGUAGAGGGUGGUGGAAUUUCCUGUGUAGCGGUGAAAUGCGUAGAUAUAGGAAGGAACACCAGUGGCGAAGGCGACCACCUGGACUGAUACUGACACUGAGGUGCGAAAGCGUGGGGAGCAAACAGGAUUAGAUACCCCGGUAGUCCCUGUCUCUUAUAC
Molecule: ribosomal RNA, 301 nt
Filed under: uncultured bacterium
Lineage: Bacteria
Description: partial 16S ribosomal RNA
Rfam family: Bacterial small subunit ribosomal RNA
Source: RNAcentral